Bombus pascuorum is the source of this 491-nucleotide long non-coding RNA. RefSeq lists it as uncharacterized. Lineage: Eukaryota; Metazoa; Arthropoda; Insecta; Hymenoptera; Apidae. The transcript has 4 exons. The record is from RefSeq and is a predicted model, not a curated record.
UCACAAUCGAGAAGCUUUCUGGGAAUCCAGUCUAUAAGACAAAAUGACGAGUUAAAAAUUUUCUCAAUUCGAAGAACACUACGAGAAAAAUAAAGGCACUUACGAUCCAAGUUGACAGAAGAUAGAAGACGUCCCCUGAGCAUCUGCAACACACUCUGCACUGGCCUCGCAGAGGGCUCUUUCGGCGCAGCCUCGUUGACCUUCAUCUUCCGCACGACCAACGUUAUUAAAUGACUUCACUGACCUCAUGUAGCCCUAAAAUGAAAAUCGCGUUAAUCUCAGAACGGAUAAAAACAGAACCUAGCUGCCAGGGAACGAUGAGAGAACGAGGUCUUCAACGCGUCCAGAAGAUUGAUCACUAUGCUAAUGAACUGUUUCGGAGAAAUUGAUCCAUUAAAUGCGUGUACUAACCUCGGAAGCGUUUUUAGCCAUGACAGCAACCUGAUCGGGGUCUCUGCCCUGUCCUAGAAACGCGCCCAGCACCGCAGUCA